This 972-nucleotide small RNA is filed under the name Pongo abelii (Sumatran orangutan). RNAcentral's name for it is "retained intron". The record is from RNAcentral. Lineage: Eukaryota; Metazoa; Chordata; Mammalia; Primates; Hominidae.
GUGAGGUCACUAGGCUUGCAGGCCAGGCAGCGCCAGGAGUAUGGUCGAGAUGCUACCAACUGCCAUUCUGCUGGUCUUGGCGGUGUCCGUAGUUGCUAAAGAUAACGCCACGUGUGAUGGCCCCUGUGGGUUACGGUUCAGGCAGAACCCACAAGGUGGUGUCCGCAUCGUCGGCGGGAAGGCUGCACAGCAUGGGGCCUGGCCCUGGAUGGUCAGCCUCCAGAUCUUCACGUACAACAGCCACAGGUACCACGCAUGUGGAGGCAGCUUGCUGAAUUCACGAUGGGUGCUCACUGCUGCUCACUGCUUCGUUGGCAAAAAUAAAGUGCAUGACUGGAGACUGGUUUUCGGAGCAAAGGAAAUUACGUAUGGGAACAAUAAACCAGUAAAGGCGCCUGUGCAAGAGAGAUAUGUGGAGAAAAUCAUCAUUCAUGAAAAAUACAACUCUGCGACAGAGGGAGAUGACAUUGCCCUCGUGAAGAUCACCCCUCCCAUUUCGUGUGGGAGCUUCAUUGGGCCGGGCUGCCUGCCCCACUUUAAGGCAGGCCUCCCCAGAGGCUCCCAGAGCUGCUGGGUGGCUGGCUGGGGAUAUAUAGAAGAGAAAGGUGAGUAUGGGAGCGCCUCCAAGGGGGGGACGCUGCUGGCCGUUCUCCUGGUGGUCACGUGUUGACACCCAGCCAAGCAACUUUCAUCCUCCUCACGGCGCUAUACGUAGAGCCAUCACUGUUGCCUUCCACAGUCCCCUGUGCCAGGUCACAUGAUGGGUGACGUGUCUGGCUGUCUACGGGAGGGCUGAUGGCAGGUGCAGGGAGAGCUGCAGCAUUGCUUAGAAUGGGGUUGAGGCUGUGUCUGUAUUUGGCACCCGGGGCCCAAGCUGCUGGAUCCUGGAGACAAGGAGCAACCCUGAAACAGCCUUUGGAGAAGAGCUCCAGAUAAGCUUAUGUGGCUGUAUGACAGUGCCUUCCACUCUCG